UGUGCAGGGAAUAACUCCUGUCAGCAGCAAGGUCCCGACUGAAGUGGCAGCUGCAGUUGUUCCUGUGGUGUGGGCCAGUGGACUUGCAGGAGAGUGGAAGAGGGCAGAACCUGUAGGUAUUACCCCUACUGUGGGAUCUCUCCUGAAUGUGAAUGCAAGAACCUGCCAAGAAAACCAAUGGCCAAGAUGAUUGAUGAGUGCAGGACCUGAGAGAACCCCUGUAAGUGACAAUCUGGAGCAGUUUCCAGUAUUGGAUUGAAAAGAUGGCCUUUGCUGCAUCUCCUGGAGCAAGGAAAGCCAAGAAACCUUUGCUUUUGCAGGAGAAAAUCUGGAAAGCGGGAAGGAAGAAAAGAAGCCCCCUGACUCUUCCCUGAGCCCCAGACAGCUCCUGAACUGCCUUCUUGGGAAUGGUGGGAUGAGGUGGACUCUGGAUUACUCCCUCUGGAUGUGUGUGGGAUGGAGCCUGGAAACUGCAGAGAGCUGAG
Molecule: long non-coding RNA, 485 nt
Organism: Chiroxiphia lanceolata (lance-tailed manakin)
Lineage: Eukaryota; Metazoa; Chordata; Aves; Passeriformes; Pipridae
Exons: 3
Source: RefSeq, a predicted model, not a curated record